Molecule: ribosomal RNA, 497 nt
Filed under: uncultured bacterium
Lineage: Bacteria
Description: partial 16S ribosomal RNA
Rfam family: Bacterial small subunit ribosomal RNA
Source: RNAcentral
GAUGAACGCUGGCGGCGUGCCUAAUACAUGCAAGUCGAGCGAAAAGACGAGGAGCUUGCUCCUCCGACGUUCGAGGCGGUCGGGAGAGUAACACGUGGAUAACCUACCUAUUAGAAUGGGAUCACUUCGGGAAACCGGAGACAAUACCGGAUAUUAUAUUGAACCGCAUGGUUCAAUAGUGUACGACGGUUUUGGUGUCACUUGUAGAUGGAUCCGCGCCGCAUUAGCUAGUUGGUAAGGUAACGGCUUACCAAGGCGACGAUGCGUAGCCGACCUGUGAGGGGGAUCGGCCACACUGGAGGUGAGACGCGGACCAGACGCCUAAGGGACGCAGCAGUAGGGAAUGGGCCGCAGUAGGCGGAAGCCUUACGGAGCAGGGCCGCGUGUGAGGUGAAGGUGUUCGGAGCGUAAUACUCUGUUAUGAGGGGAGAACAAAUGUGUAAGGAGCUAUGCACGUCUUGACGGUACCUAAUCAAAAAGCCACGGCUAACUACGUG